UCCAAAGUCCUUUUCCAGAACACUGGAAUCAUAUAGUAUGUAGUCUUUUCAGAUUGGCUUCUUUCGCUUCAGAUUGUAUUUUGAAACACAAACUUACUUUGGGUUCACUGUGGAGAACAAAUAGAGGAUCGUUAAGGGGUCUGCAAACCUCCUCCGGGUGGCAACCUGACACUGUGAUGCGUCUCCCCCCAACGAUGAGCGCUAUGAGGAGAACCCUCUUCAGCUUUAGCACAGUAACUGCCAUGGAGUAGGCAUGUAAUACAUUUCUUGACCGAUUCAAUACAUGAACGGUUGAGUGAAUAAGCACAUGUAAGAAAAAUAUAACCGUCUUCUUUGUUCAGGAGAAAGCUCUGAAACUUGUAGAACUGAGUGAAUCAUACUGGUGGGAAUGGAAUGGCUCCUUUUGGGUUAGUUCAUCCAACAUGAAAUCUGUUGCUACAGGUUUUCGGAUGACUCUGAAGCAACCUCUAUGGAGAAUACUUUAGCAGCAAUAUAAUUUUUUAUCAAUCUGAACAACUGUGAUAGAAGGGGCAAAGGUAUAGCAAGUUCAGCGUCUUAACUGCAAGAAUUGUACCACAGAUAAGAAAAAAAGUUCACUGCUUUUUAUUCGUAUUUCUCCUAUUUUUUGUUCUAGGGUAAGAAAUAUGAAUGUCACCCAACAUGUGGGAAUAAAAGUGACAUAAAUUGUGUAAAUGCA
This is a non-coding RNA of Puma concolor (puma), 697 nucleotides long. The record is from RefSeq and is a predicted model, not a curated record. NCBI's taxonomy places the organism in Eukaryota, Metazoa, Chordata, Mammalia, Carnivora, Felidae.